Molecule: ribosomal RNA, 1400 nt
Filed under: Salmonella enterica subsp. enterica serovar Enteritidis
Lineage: Bacteria; Pseudomonadati; Pseudomonadota; Gammaproteobacteria; Enterobacterales; Enterobacteriaceae
Description: partial 23S ribosomal RNA
Rfam family: Bacterial large subunit ribosomal RNA
Source: RNAcentral
GAGGCGUGACGACGAGGCACUACGGUGCUGAAGCAACAAAUGCCCUGCUUCCAGGAAAAGCCUCUAAGCAUCAGGUAACAUCAAAUCGUACCCCAAACCGACACAGGUGGUCAGGUAGAGAAUACCAAGGCGCUUGAGAGAACUCGGGUGAAGGAACUAGGCAAAAUGGUGCCGUAACUUCGGGAGAAGGCACGCUGACACGUAGGUGAAGUGAUUUACUCAUGGAGCUGAAGUCAGUCGAAGAUACCAGCUGGCUGCAACUGUUUAUUAAAAACACAGCACUGUGCAAACACGAAAGUGGACGUAUACGGUGUGACGCCUGCCCGGUGCCGGAAGGUUAAUUGAUGGGGUCAGCGCAAGCGAAGCUCCUGAUCGAAGCCCCGGUAAACGGCGGCCGUAACUAUAACGGUCCUAAGGUAGCGAAAUUCCUUGUCGGGUAAGUUCCGACCUGCACGAAUGGCGUAAUGAUGGCCAGGCUGUCUCCACCCGAGACUCAGUGAAAUUGAACUCGCUGUGAAGAUGCAGUGUACCCGCGGCAAGACGGAAAGACCCCGUGAACCUUUACUAUAGCUUGACACUGAACAUUGAGCCUUGAUGUGUAGGAUAGGUGGGAGGCUUUGAAGUGUGGACGCCAGUCUGCAUGGAGCCGACCUUGAAAUACCACCCUUUAAUGUUUGAUGUUCUAACGUGGACCCGUUACCCGGGUUGCGGACAGUGUCUGGUGGGUAGUUUGACUGGGGCGGUCUCCUCCUAAAGAGUAACGGAGGAGCACGAAGGUUGGCUAAUCCUGGUCGGACAUCAGGAGGUUAGUGCAAUGGCAUAAGCCAGCUUGACUGCGAGCGUGACGGCGCGAGCAGGUGCGAAAGCAGGUCAUAGUGAUCCGGUGGUUCUGAAUGGAAGGGCCAUCGCUCAACGGAUAAAAGGUACUCCGGGGAUAACAGGCUGAUACCGCCCAAGAGUUCAUAUCGACGGCGGUGUUUGGCACCUCGAUGUCGGCUCAUCACAUCCUGGGGCUGAAGUAGGUCCCAAGGGUAUGGCUGUUCGCCAUUUAAAGUGGUACGCGAGCUGGGUUUAGAACGUCGUGAGACAGUUCGGUCCCUAUCUGCCGUGGGCGCUGGAGAACUGAGGGGGGCUGCUCCUAGUACGAGAGGACCGGAGUGGACGCAUCACUGGUGUUCGGGUUGUCAUGCCAAUGGCACUGCCCGGUAGCUAAAUGCGGAAGAGAUAAGUGCUGAAAGCAUCUAAGCACGAAACUUGCCCCGAGAUGAGUUCUCCCUGAGACUUAGAGUCUCCUGAAGGAACGUUGAAGACGACGACGUUGAUAGGCCGGGUGUGUAAGCGCAGCGAUGCGUUGAGCUAACCGGUACUAAUGAACCGUGAGGCUUAACCUUACAACGCCG